This 253-nucleotide ribosomal RNA is filed under the name uncultured bacterium. Its description in RNAcentral is "partial 16S ribosomal RNA". It matches the Rfam family "Bacterial small subunit ribosomal RNA", at positions 524 to 776 of the family's 1533-position model. The record is from RNAcentral.
UACAGAGGGGGCAAGCGUUGUUCGGAAUUACUGGGCGUAAAGGGCGCGUAGGCGGCCUUCUAAGUCGAACGUGAAAUCCCCGGGCUCAACCCGGGAACUGCGUCCGAUACUGGAAGGCUUGAAUCCGGGAGAGGGAUGUGGAAUUCCAGGUGUAGCGGUGAAAUGCGUAGAUAUCUGGAGGAACACCGGUGGCGAAGGCGGCAUUCUGGACCAAUACUGACGCUGAGGAGCGAAAGCCAGGGGAGCAAACGGG